UAUUAGAUAGAUCUGUUUCAAGGAUUAGUACUUUUUGGAUAAAUGUUUUUUUAACUUUUUUAAAGACAAUGGUGCCAAUCUGUUGCUGAUUU
Molecule: transfer RNA, 92 nt
Filed under: Leuconostoc gasicomitatum
Lineage: Bacteria; Bacillati; Bacillota; Bacilli; Lactobacillales; Lactobacillaceae
Description: tRNA-Pro
Source: RNAcentral